This 254-nucleotide ribosomal RNA is filed under the name uncultured bacterium. Its description in RNAcentral is "partial 16S ribosomal RNA". It matches the Rfam family "Bacterial small subunit ribosomal RNA", at positions 524 to 776 of the family's 1533-position model. The record is from RNAcentral.
GACGAACCGUGCGAACGUUAUUCGGAAUCACUGGGCUUAAAGCGCGUGUAGGCGGGUGACCGCGUCGGUCGCUGAAAGCCCCCGGCUCAACCGGGGGACCGGCGCCGAUACGGGUCGCCUGGAGGGGCGUAGGGGGACCUGGAACUUCCGGUGGAGCGGUGAAAUGCGUUGAGAUCGGAAGGAACGCCCGUGGCGAAAGCGAGGUCCUGGACGCCAUCUGACGCUGAGACGCGAAAGCCAGGGGAGCGAACGGG